RNAcentral lists this long non-coding RNA (3432 nucleotides) under Homo sapiens (human). RNAcentral describes it as "HSALNT0190207". The record is from RNAcentral. Lineage: Eukaryota; Metazoa; Chordata; Mammalia; Primates; Hominidae.
CCUGCCACACCCAAACCUGAGCUCCUAGCAUGCGCACAGUUGAAUCAUCAGGCACACUUUGCAGCUUCCUAUUUGUCUGUCUCCGUACAGGCUUUUCCUUCUGGCUGGAAUGGACUCCUCUCGACUUCCCUUUUCUCACCUCUGCUUGAAAUAUGUGCACCUUUUCAUAAUGGAAACACAAUGAGGCAAAUGUGAUCUGCAUAGCUCCACCCUUUGUGAACAUCCUUGAGUUGGAAAAGUGCUGUGAGAGGCACGUGUCAAUCUUCAGAAGCUGAAGUGACUUGUCUAGGGUGGGAGAAGGAAUGUUCUCUGGAGAAAUCUGUAUGAUAGAAUAGUGAAGGUAACUGGCCUGAACUACAGCUCUUGAGCCAUCUGGUUUCACCUUCAGGGAGGUGCAGAGAGUGCUGGAAUGGAGGGUUAAUUGACCAUGGUGGAAAAGAGAGAAACAUUUUGAGGUUUGUGGAUUACCCAGAUGUAACAGUGACUUGCACAUAUUCCUCAUGGUGUUGUAUACAAAUGGAUCAGCAAGAAUCAGAUACUACACAUCACAGAUAAAAUCCAUAGCAACCAGGAAGCAAGAUGGUCACAUGGGAAAAUAGGGGAUGGAAUUUUAUGGACAUUAUUCAGACCACCUGGCCUUCUUACUCCCAUGUUGACACAAAGAAAGAGGACAUGAUGCUGAAGGACAAUUGGGUGCCUCAAGGCACCUGUCUUGCAGGACUGUAGUCCUAAUGAUUCAGUUGGUGGAAGGGAACCACGGAAUCACAGAUUCUGUGUUUGCACAGCCAUGCAGUACUGGAAGACCUUUGCACAUCUAGGGAUGCUGAUGUGGGUGGUGUAUUGAUUCUGAUAAUGGUGAUUAAAUGAUGACCAUUCUCAUUCAUUAGCAGAAAUUUUACCUAACCUAAAAAUGUUUAAAAAAACCUAACCAUUGUCUUAUCUUUCAUAGCAUACUGUGAGAUUGACUAUAAAGAUGAACAUUAGGGAAAUGAAGAUGGAUUAAUGUUCUUGGCAGUCUCCAACAACCCCUGCCUUUCAUAGGUAGUCUUACUUCUUGUCGAUUUAUCAGUUACUUUCUGGCUCUUAAGUCUUAUGCUCCUCUGUGAGACCUGUUAAGAGGGAUGGUAUAUACUUGUAGGUAGAAGACUAGGGAAUGGAAGUUGGAGACUUCCAUUCCAUUAACAUAGAAAGUAAUCUAGGGAUAUAAUAAUGGACUGUUUAGGGGUAUAGUACAAUGGCCCAUCCCUGAAUAAGGAAUAUGCUAUAGGUUUGCUAAUUUUACUUGUUCAGGGUAUUUCCAAAUUAUCGAAUUUUUGUUUGUUCUUUUUCUAUAAGUGAAAGUAUACAUCAAAAUGUUUCUGAUGUUUGCAGGUGUGUUUCCUUACUACUGUCCUCCCUAACUCUGGCGACCUCUUUGACCCAGCCAUCAUCAAAAAGCAUGUUUAAGGCCAUGAUUAGGGUAAUUAAUGUUAAGAAUAAAUAUUAUUUCAUUAAGAAACAUUAUUUAACUCAUUUUCCUUAUGUGUCACUUAAUGUUAUUAAGUGACCAAUUAGUUUUUAAUUAUUUCAAAUAAAAUCUAAUUGUAUUUUAAUGUCAUAUAGGUAGAUUUUUCAAAUAUGUAUGUUCACAUUUAUAUUUAGAAACAUACAAUGGGUCAUCUAACUAGAUAUUAAAAACUUUGUAUACACUUUUCAAGAUCUUUACCUUUGUGUGGAAAGCCAAGCUGCCGAAAAAAAUAUAUAUUCUAUAGAGUUCUAUAACUGGUUAAAGCUCUACAGGACCAUCAAUAACCAAACAUGUGCUGCAGUUGCCUGGAGGCAUCGUAAAGUGGUUAUUUAAAUUAAAGUUGUUUCUUAGUACUUGGGGAAAAAAACUAACACAAAUCUAAAUCAGAUGAGUCAUUGUGCAUUUUAAUGAAAAGUUUUUCUAAUAUGUAAAUAAAUCUAGCAAAAUAUCCUCAAUAGUAUAUGAUCAACCAUGUAUAGGGAUCCUCAAAGGAUCUGUUGUUCUAUACUGUGCCCACUGGCCAAAGAACAGGUACCUAACGUUCUCUAAGAGACUUUACAGAUUAUACGAUGAGAUAUGGUUUGAACUCCUGUUUUGGCUGACUCCAUGCAAUCGCACAGUGCUUUAAAAUUGUCUUCUAUCCUGCAUUUUUCUCAGUCGCAGAUAAUUCUGGCUCACCUGGAUUCAAAUACUUGUAGACUUGACGCAAUCCAACUACCUAAGAUCCAAGUGCCCAAGAAACAACUUUCCAGGCUCAAAAAGGUGUCACUCGCUGGCUGUCAUAAUACUUGAAAUUUCUAUCACUAUAUCACUAUACUCAUUCUAUUAAUAUAAGCUGAUGGCUCCUCUAAAGUGUGAGUAUAUUACCUACAAAGGGGAACAAAUUAGCAUAUUAAAUUUAUUAUCAACAUGAGAUUAUACUGUAGUAUGGGCAGCACCCACUCAUUUACCCCUAAUUUUAUGUGUCCCUGCCGAAGAAGCAACUCUGCUUCCAGUCUUGCUACCUUUGACUGCUCAUUGGAGCAAUGGUUUCCACUGUCACUCCUCAUACCUGUUUCCACCUAGGAUGAACUGGCCAUACAAAGCGUAUUAAAUAGGGAGAGAUGAUGAAAACUGACCAUUGACAGGAGAAAGGAGAGAGAAUAUAGGGAAGUUUUACGACACAGAUACCUGCUUAGUGAGGGCAAGUCCAAGUUGGAUACUUUAGAGUGAGACUCCCAACAGCCAUGUGGACAGCAUGAAUAUGCCAAGAGUUUGAAAAAGGAGCCCCAAAUGGACUGGGGCCAGGAGAGUGAGAUGACAAAGACAGACUGAAUCUUUUACAGUUUUGAGCUUUCUUUGAGUACAUACUAGAGAUAUAACAGAACCAGGUGGAGGAAGGAGGCAGGGAAUCUAAAAUAUUUAUGAGCUUGAUAAGAUUGGAAGAGUUUAAAGCAGGAGGUGGAGACAAAUGAGGGUAGACUGGAGGGAGGGAUACAAGCAAGGGAGGGCAUCUUAAGAGUGCUUCAGAAGAGGCAGUGAUGUCAGUGGUGCAGGUGUGGAUCCAACUUAGACACCCUGUUCUUGUGGGUAAAUGCAUAUUUUCUUUUUACACGGCUGGGUUAAAUUACUUCCCCUAGGUCAUUCAAUUAAUCACUUGGAGAGCAAGGAAUAGAAUCCAGCUCUCAAGGCUCUCAUUUCACAUCUGGAGCAGGCAAACUAGGGUUCUCCUUUCUGAAACACCCUCUUUUUUUUUUUUAAGUCUUUUGCAAAUCAGUGAAGUUUUGAGCUCCUUUAUAAAGAAUUUAUGAAAUCCUGUUACUCUUUGCGUGAUUUAAAAUUAAGGUGGUGUUAGUACAAAAAAACACUAUAAAUUGCUUUUUGGUUUAUCUUCCAUUCAAAAAUUUAAAAUAUCUGUCAAAAUUUCUUUGAUUUUUUCCCUGCAG